GAGAGCAUCUGGGCUUUGCACCGACCGCCAAAAAACGCAGUUUUGACAGCCGGCACCAAGCCACCCGGAAGGAAGCGGCAAAGCACCAAUCACAAGCCAGAUAACUAAUGCCAAAGGCCGUCGCGUCCUCCAUCGGCUGGCCAUGGCGGAGCACGUUUCUGAUUGUCCUGGCAUCACCACACCCAAGCGUGCUCGCUCCGUCUUGUCGCAUUUCUAUCGAUGGUGGAGACGACGACGACGAUUAUGCACAUUCAUCUGGAGUCCUUCAUCAAUAUGGCUCUGUGGCCGCCGACACAAUCUCCUGACACAACUUACCACAGCCCCUGAUAUUUUCUUCCUUUAUGGAAGAAUGUGAAAGGCCUGCCGACCCGAUGUCACACAACCACAGCCCUCUCCCCCUCCUGGCUCCCACUCCCAAGGAAACAGUUCAUUGUCUCAUCUUUUUGUAUCUUUGAAAUCUCUUCUUUUUUCUAAACACGUAACCUUAAAGUUAAUAACGUUGUCAGCUCUAGUCAUUCGUGUUACAAGUUGAUUGUAUCCAUGGUAACAGUACUGUACUUUUUCUAGUAUUCUGAACGAGAAAAAAUCACAUAUUAACACCUUAUUUAUAAAUUUCCAUUAAAUUCAAUUUGUAGUUUAUUUCUAUGAUAUGAGGACAUUAAUGUUUGCAUAGUAAUUAUGGUUUAUCUUGCUUCCUUUGGCUGUCAAUCAGUUGUGUUCAUUGUGUUGGACAUUGUUGCAGACCCAGACCAUCAUCGCUGUGCAUCCCCCGACAUGAUCUCUUGACACAGCCUUCUGACACAGCCUCCUGACACAACCUCCUGACACAGCCUUCUGACACAGCCUCCUGACACAGCCUCCUGACACAGCCUUCUGACACAGCCUCCUGACACAGCCUCCUGACACAGCCUCCUGACACAGCCUUCUGACACAGCCUCCUGACACAGCCUCCUGACACAAACUUCUGACACAACCUUCUGACACAACCUCCUCACAGCCCCUUGAUAUUCACCUCUAGAUGGAAGAUUGUUUAAGGUAGGGGAUUGUUUACCAUGGUAGCCACUGUAUUCGCCUUAAAAGCACCCCACUCCAAUAUUUCAUUUGCACCAAUAGGUCCUAUUUUCUUGUGUAUAUUGUACAGCAAUGUAUAACUAUUAUCAAACAAGAUUUGAUGUCAUCAAUGUCUGAACCAAGUCUCUUCUCUUCCUCUAUAUCUCUGACAACAGAUUUAAGUUGUUGUGGCUGUUCCUUGGGCACUUAUUACGGCGAAUACGGUGCUAACAUUUUGUCUCUGACAUGAAAGUGUGUUCACAUUUUUUGUUUGAAUUGUCUUGUAAUAUGUCAUACAAAGGAAUCCAUAGAAUCUUGUCAUUUUUCAGGAGAAAUCUACUUUUGGCAAAACAUUAUAGACUUGCUUGGCACAUUUUACAUAUUUUCAUUUCAGUGCAGUGUCAUACUAGCCCUGUCAAACCCGUCAAAGUAUGAGUGGGCAUGACUUGUUUCAGUACUACAUGUCCCUAUACCAUGUAUACCAAUGUGUAUAUUGCUAUAUUAACCCGUUGCUGUUGGGGUUAACAUAGCCUUGCUCCAAGUCUGUACUGAAUGAGAUAAGUCCAUGUUUGUGUAGUCAUUUUUUGCUUAUAAUAGGCAAGUCUAGAUAAGCAGACAGUACUCUCAGGAACAACUUGUUCUUAUUAUUUUUAUAAUCUAGGAAUUUUCAUUUAAACUAAUAAUCAUUUCCUUAGAAACACGUGUCAAGUCAGGGUUAUCGGUAUGUCUACACGGGUGAU
Molecule: long non-coding RNA, 1790 nt
Filed under: Haliotis rufescens (red abalone)
Lineage: Eukaryota; Metazoa; Mollusca; Gastropoda; Lepetellida; Haliotidae
Description: uncharacterized LOC124151068, transcript variant X2
Source: RNAcentral